This 254-nucleotide ribosomal RNA is filed under the name uncultured bacterium. Its description in RNAcentral is "partial 16S ribosomal RNA". It matches the Rfam family "Bacterial small subunit ribosomal RNA", at positions 332 to 584 of the family's 1533-position model. The record is from RNAcentral.
CCUCCUCCCGGCAGCAGUAGGGAAUCUUCCACAAUGGGCGAAAGCCUGAUGGAGCAACGCCGCGUGGGUGAAGAAGGUCUUCGGAUCGUAAAACCCUGUUGUUAGAGAAGAAAGUGCGUGAGAGUAACCGUCACCCUCCCCCCUUUCUCUCCCCCUCCCUCCCCCUGUAACUACGUGCCAGCAGCCGCGGUAAUACGUAGGUGGCAAGCGUUAUCCGGAUUUAUUGGGCGUAAAGGGAACGCAGGCGGUCUUUU